UACGUAUGGUGCAAGCGUUAUCCGGAUUUACUGGGUGUAAAGGGAGCGCAGGCGGCACGGCAAGCCUGAUGUGAAAGCCCGCGGCCCAACCGCGGGACUGCAUUGGGAACUACCGGGCUGGAGUGCCGGAGAGGUAGGCGGAAUUCCUAGUGUAGCGGUGAAAUGCGUAGAUAUCAGGAGGAACACCAGUGGCGAAGGCGGCCUACUGGACGGUGACUGACGCUGAGGCUCGAAAGCGUGGGGAGCAAACAGG
Molecule: ribosomal RNA, 253 nt
Filed under: uncultured bacterium
Lineage: Bacteria
Description: partial 16S ribosomal RNA
Rfam family: Bacterial small subunit ribosomal RNA
Source: RNAcentral